AAAAGUUUUAUUUUGGCUUGAGUCUUUACUUUAUUUUUUAUUUUUAUGUAAGUUUUUGCUUUAUUGUUAGAAAAUUGAUUUGGCAGUGAUUAGUUUUAAAUAUUUAGGGAACUAAGAUUUAGAAAUAAAUAUUUACUCUAACUUAAUUUGUGCCAGCAGUUGCGGUUAAACAAAUAGAGUUUGUGAAGAUUUUUGGAUUGUAGUUAAGAUUUUAAAGUUUAGUAUAAAAUUUAUUUUUUUAGGUGAAAUUUUAAAUUAAAUUUUUUCUUAGACUAUGAAGCUACUAAAUUUGAUUAUAAACUAGGAUUAGAUACCCUAUUAUUUUAAAUGUAAAUUUUUAUCUAGGUUAGUAUUAGUUAUAUUCUUUAAAACAAAAGAAUUUGGCGGUAUUUUAGUCUUUUCAGAGGAACCUGCCCUGUAAUUGAUAAUCCACGAUUAUUUUUACUUGUAAUUAAUUAAGCUUGUAUAUCGUUGUGGUUGAUUUUUUUAUAAGAAAUUUAAAUUGUUAGGAUUCUUAAUUAUGAAGGAAGUCAGAUCAAGAUGCAGCUAUGAACAAGGAGAGGUGGGUUACAAUAAAUUUAUUUAAAUGGUUAAGGUUUUUAGAAAAUUUUAUAAAGUGGAUUUGAAAGUAAUUAUUAAAUUAUUUUUUUAUAAUGAGUUAGCUCUAGGAUAUGCACAUAUCGCCCGUCGCUUCCACAAAAAUGGAAUAAGUCGUAACAAAGUAGGCGUACUGGAAAGUGUGCCUAGAAAGAUC
Molecule: non-coding RNA, 754 nt
Filed under: Agrilinae sp. 1 ACP-2013
Lineage: Eukaryota; Metazoa; Arthropoda; Insecta; Coleoptera; Buprestidae
Source: RNAcentral